RNAcentral lists this ribosomal RNA (220 nucleotides) under uncultured bacterium. Its description in RNAcentral is "partial 16S ribosomal RNA". It matches the Rfam family "Bacterial small subunit ribosomal RNA", at positions 111 to 334 of the family's 1533-position model. The record is from RNAcentral.
UAAUGCUUGGGAAUCUGGCUUAUGGAGGGGGAUAACUACGGGAAACUGUAGCUAAUACCGCAUAGAAUCGGAAGAUGAAAGUGCGGGACCGCAAGGCCGCAUGCCAUGAGAUGAGCCCAAGUGGGAUUAGGUAGUUGGUGGGGUAAAGGCCUACCAAGCCUGCGAUCUCUAGCUGGUCUGAGAGGAUGGCCAGCCACACUGGAACUGAGACACGGUCCAG